GAUGAACGCUGGCGGCGUGCUUAACACAUGCAAGUCGAACGGUGAAGCAGAGCUUGCUCUGUGGAUCAGUGGCGAACGGGUGAGUAACACGUGAGCAACCUGCCCCUGACUCUGGGAUAAGCGCUGGAAACGGCGUCUAAUACUGGAUAUGAGCUGCGACCGCAUGGUCAGCAGUUGGAAAGAUUUUUCGGUCUGGGAUGGGCUCACGGCCUAUCAGCUUGUUGGUGAGGUAAUGGCUCACCAAGGCGUCGACGGGUAGCCGGCCUGAGAGGGUGACCGGCCACACUGGGACUGAGACACGGCCCAGACUCCUACGGGAGGCAGCAGUGGGGAAUAUUGCACAAUGGGCGAAAGCCUGAUGCAGCAACGCCGCGUGGUGGAUGACGGUCUUCGGGUUGUAAACCUCUUUUAGCAGGGAAGAAGCCAAAGUGACGGUACCUGCAGAAAAAGCGCCGGCUAACUACGUG
This 467-nucleotide ribosomal RNA is filed under the name uncultured bacterium. RNAcentral describes it as "partial 16S ribosomal RNA". It matches the Rfam family "Bacterial small subunit ribosomal RNA", at positions 28 to 507 of the family's 1533-position model. The record is from RNAcentral.